Passer domesticus (house sparrow) is the source of this 363-nucleotide long non-coding RNA. RefSeq lists it as uncharacterized. The transcript is spliced from 3 exons. The record is from RefSeq and is a predicted model, not a curated record. NCBI's taxonomy places the organism in Eukaryota, Metazoa, Chordata, Aves, Passeriformes, Passeridae.
UUUUUAUGCCACAGUGGCAAUGUCUUUCCUAGAAAAGCUAUUAGGGAAAAGAGACUGCUUAUUAUACCUUUUAAAGGAAUUUUCAUCCCUUUACCUACUCUGAAGAGACUUGAAAAUAACAUGAACACCUUCCUCAGGGACAGAGAUGAUGCUUCCAGCCUUUCUCAGACCAUGGUCCUUCAGGACAGCAGUGGGACCUGGUCACAGCUUUGUGUCCUGAAGCCCUUUCCUGACCUGUUAAAUUCCUGAAGCAUGGAAAUGGGAAGAUUCCGGCACUGUGGGUAUGCAGGAAUCAGCACUUUCUGCAGAUUAAAUUGUCUGCAAUGCCAUGUUUUGGGUCUACAAGGGAACAGGUUUCAGCCC